AUUGAACGCUGGCGGCAGGCCUAACACAUGCAAGUCGAACGGUAACAGGAAACAGCUUGCUGUUUCGCUGACGAGUGGCGGACGGGUGAGUAAUGUCUGGGAAACUGCCUGAUGGAGGGGGAUAACUACUGGAAACGGUAGCUAAUACCGCAUAACGUCGCAAGACCAAAGAGGGGGACCCUCGGGCCUCUUGCCAUCGGAUGUGCCCAGAUGGGAUUAGCUUGUUGGUGGGGUAACGGCUCACCAAGGCGACGAUCCCUAGCUGGUCUGAGAGGAUGACCAGCCACACUGGAACUGAGACACGGUCCAGACUCCUACGGGAGGCAGCAGUGGGGAAUAUUGCACAGUGGGCGCAAGCCUGAUGCAGCCAUGCCGCGUGUAUGAAGAAGGCCUUCGGGUUGUAAAGUACUUUCAGCGGGGAGGAAGGGAGUAAAGUUAAUACCGUUGCUCAUUGACGUUACCCGCAGAAGAAGCACCGGCUAACUCCGUG
This 490-nucleotide ribosomal RNA is filed under the name uncultured bacterium. RNAcentral's name for it is "partial 16S ribosomal RNA". It matches the Rfam family "Bacterial small subunit ribosomal RNA", at positions 30 to 507 of the family's 1533-position model. The record is from RNAcentral.